CUUGCUGGAUUAAGCUAGUUGUAGCAAGUGACUGCGAUUCCUUCUAAGUGAAACAAUGGUCUUGUAUGACCUUGGUGAAGUCUUCCUGUAAGUAUGCGCUCAUUGAUUUGCCACCUUAUAUUGCAGUUCUUAUCGAGUUCUAUGCACCCUGGUGCGGACACUGCAAGAAGCUAGCACCCAUCCUCGACGAGGCAGCUGCCACCCUUCAAAGCGAAGAGGACGUUGUGAUUGCCAAGAUAGUAAUAUUUGUUGCCCUCUCCGUCGUUCCAGUUCCAGCAACGAAAUACAACUUACCUAACCACUGUUUCUCAACCUUGUCCACAGGACGCUACCGCGAAUGACGUUCCCGGCGAGUUUGAUGUCCAGGGUUACCCCACCCUCUACUUCGUCACUCCUAGCGGGAAGAAGGUCUCGUAUGAGGGCGGCAGGACGGCCGACGAGAUUGUCGACUACAUCAAGAAGAACAAGGAGACUGCCGGGCAGGCGGCAGCGGCGGCGACCGAGAAGGCAGCUGAACCGGCUGCCACCGAGCCUCUGAAGGACGAGCUCUGAGCAUCAGUCUUGCUAGCAGCAGACAGGUAGAGGAGGGGGAAACAUGUUUUGGCAAGGCAGCUUCCAACGCCAGAUUUUGCGAGGGGGGGACGAGAGUUGGUUGUUGGUUGUGUUGGCCCCGGUUUUGCCUGAUACUGUUUCCCGUUGCGAGAAAUACUGUAACAAAUCCAUCAGUGGUGUACCUAGUUAAAUUAUCGAGAAGUGGCAUUAGAAAUGGUCUGUGGAGAGCUCUGGUAAUAAGCGGUGCUACUGUGCCUGGUAGAAUUAUCAUGCAUGUCAGCAUGUGUUACGCUUACUGUGUUUUUAGACGUUUUACAGGUUUCAGAUCACCAGUUGUGGAGACUAAUCUUCCUCUGACGGGUCGCCUGAAACAUGCACAAGGAAACAAGCAUAAGAUCCGGAAGAAAACCAG
RNAcentral lists this long non-coding RNA (964 nucleotides) under Triticum aestivum (bread wheat). Its description in RNAcentral is "long non-coding RNA (TAES_LNC001810)". The record is from RNAcentral. Lineage: Eukaryota; Viridiplantae; Streptophyta; Magnoliopsida; Poales; Poaceae.